UUUUAGUUAUAUCGCAACAACACCUAAUUAUUAAAAGCUAUAAUCUCUAAAUUUAAAGGAUUUGGCGGUAAUCUAGUCCAGUUAGAGGAACCUGUUUGAGAAACGAUACACCACGCAACAUCUUACCUAACCUAAAAGUUUGUAUACCGUCAUUCUCAGAUAACUCUAAAAAGAUAAAGUUAUUUUUAUAGGUAUCUUUCCUAAUAUAUUAGAUCAAGGUGCAGCCUAUGGAUAGGAUAUAAUGGGUUACAAUAAAAUCUUAUAUUAUUACGAACAGAGAGCAAAAAUGCUUUCUCGAAGGAGGAUUUAAUAGUAAAUUUAGUUUAAUAAGCUAACUUGAUAUUGGAUCUAGAUUGAGUACAUAUCGCCCGUCGCUUUCAUUUCCAAAUGAAAUAAGUCGUAACAUAG
Molecule: ribosomal RNA, 408 nt
Filed under: Callichirus islagrande
Lineage: Eukaryota; Metazoa; Arthropoda; Malacostraca; Decapoda; Callianassidae
Description: partial 12S ribosomal RNA
Rfam family: Microsporidia small subunit ribosomal RNA
Source: RNAcentral